GGCCGACUAGCUCAGUUGGUUAGAGCGUCGUGCUAAUAUUACAUAUUAACGCGAAGGUCUUGGGUUCGAUCCCCACGUUGGCCA
This is a non-coding RNA of Paramarasmius palmivorus, 84 nucleotides long. Lineage: Eukaryota; Fungi; Basidiomycota; Agaricomycetes; Agaricales; Marasmiaceae. The record is from the annotation of a GenBank genome assembly.